GUUAAAAAGCUCGUAGUCGAAUCUGUGUCGUGCGCCGCCGGUUCAUCGCUCGCGGUGUCAACUGGCGUGUCGCAGGACGUCCUGCCGGUGGACUCAGCCGUCAGGUCCGUCUCCUCCGGGAGUCGGUCUGGCGGCGGUCCAACUUUAAAAUCCCAUCGCGGUGCUCUUCGCUGAGUGUCGCGUUGGGCCGGCACGUUUACUUUGAACAAAUUAGAGUGCUUAAAGCAGGCUAAAAUUUCGCCUGAAUACUGUGUGCAUGGAAUAAUGGAAUAGGACCUCGGUUCUAUUUUGUUAGUUUUCGGAACC
This 306-nucleotide ribosomal RNA is filed under the name Operclipygus striatellus. RNAcentral describes it as "SSU rRNA". It matches the Rfam family "Eukaryotic small subunit ribosomal RNA", at positions 618 to 858 of the family's 1831-position model. The record is from RNAcentral. Lineage: Eukaryota; Metazoa; Arthropoda; Insecta; Coleoptera; Histeridae.